Molecule: ribosomal RNA, 379 nt
Filed under: uncultured bacterium
Lineage: Bacteria
Description: bacterial SSU rRNA
Rfam family: Bacterial small subunit ribosomal RNA
Source: RNAcentral
UAAUACAGAGGGGGCAAGCGUUGUCCGGACUUACUGGGCGUACAGCGCGCGCAGGCGGUCGUCGACGUGCCGUGUGACAGCCAUCGGCUCAACCGAUGGAGGCCGGGGUACACGAGACGACUGGAGGCAGAGAGAGGGAUGUGGAAUACCCGGUGGAGCGGUGAAAUGCGUAGAGAUCGGGUGGAACACCAGCGGCGAAGGCGGCAUCCUGGCUCUGUUCUGACGCUGAGGCGCGAGAGCGUGGGGAGCAAACCGGAUUAGAUACCCGGGUAGUCCACGCCGUAAACGAUGUGUACCCGGCGCUGGGCGGUGAUUGCGCCGCUCGGUGCCCCAGCUUACGCGAUGAGUACACCGCCUGGGGACUACGGCCGCAAGGCUA